RNAcentral lists this ribosomal RNA (243 nucleotides) under uncultured Actinomycetales bacterium. RNAcentral's name for it is "partial 16S ribosomal RNA". It matches the Rfam family "Bacterial small subunit ribosomal RNA", at positions 88 to 334 of the family's 1533-position model. Lineage: Bacteria; Bacillati; Actinomycetota; Actinomycetes; Actinomycetales. The record is from RNAcentral.
UACUCGAGUGGCGAACGGGUGAGUAACACGUGGGUGAUCUGCCCUGCACUCUGGGAUAAGCCUGGGAAACUGGGUCUAAUACCGGAUAGGACCAUGCUUUAGUGUGUGUGGUUGAAGGUUUUUUCGGUGUAGGAUGAGCCCGCGGCCUAUCAGCUUGUUGGUGGGGUAAUGGCCUACCAAGGCGGCGACGGGUAGCCGGACUGAGAGGUUGGUCGGCCACAUUGGGACUGAGAUACGGCCCAG